CUUAGAGAAGAAGACUUGCCUCUUUCCAAAUCUUGCUCUUUCCCACCGAUAGUUCACCCCAAAAGCAUUCAACCUACAGACGAAAAUCACUAAAACCCACACUGAAGCAAACGCAGAUUCAAUAUUUCGAUGGAAACCCUUAACCCGCACAACUAGCAAAUGAUACUUCAGUUCCAUAAAGGUCUACACAACACGUUUCCAUGGAAGAGUCGUCAACAACUCCGCCCCCAUAUUGCGUCCACAACCCCGCAUCCAAGCCCACAUCUUCGCCGACCAAAUGGAUCCCGCUGACACACAGGUACUUCAUAUGCCUCCAACAUUUGUCCUACAUUUGCCGACGACGAGGACGUUAUUCCGGUUACACUACCGUGUUAUUUGUUCACUGAAACUGGGAAGUUAAGGGAGGAAAAAAGUUCAGCAGGAUGACGACUUUAAGGAAAAGGAUUCUUUUUUAUAUAAAUGUCCAACCAACCACCAUAAUCGAAGGUGAAGUCCUUUCAAGGGAAGCACUUCGAGAAAAUUCAAUCCUUUCCAUAAUCGAAAAUAUCACGAUUUGAUUAUUGAUUCAAACCAUGACUGAAAGAAGCCCACUAAGAAUUCCAUAUACCCACAUCAAAAACUACUUGUAAUGUAUAGUAGUUGAUCUACAAAUUUGCUAAAGAAAAUAGAAACGGUUCUGCAAGAAUGGGCUUCCGAAUUGAAUGCAUAUCAUUAACCUCUUGGGAUUAAUACCAAUCAGGUUUCCCAACCCCAUACUUAUUCGCUUUAUAUGUAUUACCAUUCUGUUCAAAACAAUAUUUCGAUGUUUUCUCACUUUUAAUGCCCAACUUCACUCUUGGGAUCGAAAUCUUAUGCGCGAUGGAAUGCGUCGGAGACCCAAACAUUUAUUGCAGCGUGUGAAACCGCCAUUGUCGAGGGCCAUCGUAAUGUUCGGUGUUUUACAAAACACAGCUGGGAACGAGUCUCCGCUCUAUUCAACUCAAUCAGCGGGCACAAUUGGAGCAAGCAACAACUGUGCAAUCACUGGAACGCCAUAUGUCAAACCCACAUACAUCUCUCUGAGCUGUUAAAUUGUAGCGGGGUCGAGUACAACCCAUCCACCAAUCAAAUCGUCACAUUGGAGGAAUGGUGGAACCGGAAGAUUAAGGUAACCAUUUCAAUUCGCCCCAUACAUAUCUGACAAUGUUGCACCGACUGUCCCAUACUUUGUUAUGUACUGUCAUUCAUAUUCAACCUAGUGGCCUCAUUUUCUCUCUCUCUCUCUCUCUCUCUUUUUUUUUUUAUCCAGGUAUCCCAGCUUCGCCAGACUAAAUCCUGAACCUCUAGCCACCGGCCCCUCGGUGACUCGAGGAGGUAAAUCGCAGGUUAUGCUCUUAUUGGCCCCUAGGUUCCCACUUGGUUUAUACUCCUGGCCCCAAGAGAAUCCUCCUCACUGCGUUGAUCAGGAAUCGAACUCUCCACGUUGAGAUUGCAAGCCCACCAUAGUGAUUGUUCCACCAACUCGGAUGUGCCCUGGGGGGCUAGUGGCCUCAUUUUCUAUUUCCAUUUUCUGUUGCUUCCUUUACCAUGGAAACGGGGCAUAUAUACAUUCUGGGUUAGGUAUCGUUGUUGUAAGUGCCAUUAAUUUUUGAUUUUUUCUUUAAGGCUGUCAAGUUGAAUUGUGGAUGGAUUUGGUGUUUAGUGUUCAAUAUCGAUGUGGUGUUAUGUGUUAAUUUGAGAGAGGCAAGUACAUGUUCGAAUUUGGAAUAAAGCACGUCAUUAGAGGAUCUAAAUGACAGCCACCGUUCAUAAUUUACAUUUUGCAAAGUGGGUUGCUAGUAAGAAAGGCAAUAAAAAUCCAGAUUAUUUCCUGCCAUUGGUCCUACUUUUUAUUAUGUCCUUGUCCACUAAGAUAAUUGGUUGUCCAUAUGGGUACAAACUGAGAAGAAAUCUUG
This 1934-nucleotide long non-coding RNA is filed under the name Olea europaea subsp. europaea. The record is from RNAcentral. Lineage: Eukaryota; Viridiplantae; Streptophyta; Magnoliopsida; Lamiales; Oleaceae.